AACGAACGCUGGCGGCAUGCCUAACACAUGCAAGUCGAACGUAGGCUUCGGCCUUAGUGGCGCACGGGUGCGUAACGCGUGGGAAUCUGCCCUUGGGUUCGGAAUAACUCAGAGAAAUUUGAGCUAAUACCGGAUGAUGACGAAAGUCCAAAGAUUUAUCGCCCAAGGAUGAGCCCGCGUAGGAUUAGCUAGUUGGUGAGGUAAAGGCUCACCAAGGCGACGAUCCUUAGCUGGUCUGAGAGGAUGAUCAGCCACACUGGGACUGAGACACGGCCCAGACUCCUACGGGAGGCAGCAGUGGGGAAUAUUGGACAAUGGGCGAAAGCCUGAUCCAGCAAUGCCGCGUGAGUGAUGAAGGCCUUAGGGUUGUAAAGCUCUUUUACCCGGGAUGAUAAUGACAGUACCGGGAGAAUAAGCUCCGGCUAACUUCGUGCCAGCAGCCGCCGUAA
This 449-nucleotide ribosomal RNA is filed under the name uncultured bacterium. Its description in RNAcentral is "partial 16S ribosomal RNA". It matches the Rfam family "Bacterial small subunit ribosomal RNA", at positions 29 to 523 of the family's 1533-position model. The record is from RNAcentral.